Molecule: ribosomal RNA, 468 nt
Filed under: uncultured bacterium
Lineage: Bacteria
Description: partial 16S ribosomal RNA
Rfam family: Bacterial small subunit ribosomal RNA
Source: RNAcentral
GACGAACGCUGGCGGCGUGCUUAACACAUGCAAGUCGAACGGAAAGGCCCUGCUUUUGUGGGGUGCUCGAGUGGCGAACGGGUGAGUAACACGUGAGUAACCUGCCCUUGACUUUGGGAUAACUUCAGGAAACUGGGGCUAAUACCGGAUAGGAGCUCCUGCUGCAUGGUGGGGGUUGGAAAGUUUCGGCGGUUGGGGAUGGACUCGCGGCUUAUCAGCUUGUUGGUGGGGUAGUGGCUUACCAAGGCUUUGACGGGUAGCCGGCCUGAGAGGGUGACCGGCCACAUUGGGACUGAGAUACGGCCCAGACUCAUACGGGAGGCAGCAGUGGGGAAUAUUGCACAAUGGGCGGAAGCCUGAUGCAGCAACGCCGCGUGCGGGAUGACGGACUUCGGGUUGUAAACCGCUUUCGCCUGUGACGAAGCGUGAGUGACGGUAAUGGGUAAAGAAGCACCGGCUAACUACGUG